CAUCAGCCUCCGAAAGUGCUGGGAUCAUAGGGGUGAGCCAUGGUGCCCGGCCACCUCGAGGAGUCUUGAGCCCUCCUGGAAUUGCUGUUUGGUGUGAGGUUGGGUCAGGCCUGGUGAGUCAUCUGGGUUGUGAGCCAGCCUGCUUGGCCUCCUGGUCUCAGGCCAGCUGUGACCUGGACCUUGGGCCACCCAGCAGCUUUGUGCUGAGCCUCAGUCUGCGG
This 221-nucleotide long non-coding RNA is filed under the name Homo sapiens (human). RNAcentral describes it as "HSALNT0279295". The record is from RNAcentral. Lineage: Eukaryota; Metazoa; Chordata; Mammalia; Primates; Hominidae.